ACCACAAUCCGGCCAGGAAUCCGGCCACAAAUCCGGCCAAAUUCCGGCCGGAUUGCUACAGUGACCAUUUGGUCACUUCUGGUUCAAUUUCCAGCUCUGCUCCGAUUUUGACUCAACUUCAACUGAACUUUUCUUGAUGAUAAAAGCUGAUUUAGCUCUUGACCAAAACAUAAAACUUGUAGCCCUUUGAGUUAGCUUUCCAAUGCAUCAAGAAUCACCUCAUUUGGAUCUGUG
Molecule: long non-coding RNA, 234 nt
Filed under: Coffea arabica (coffee)
Lineage: Eukaryota; Viridiplantae; Streptophyta; Magnoliopsida; Gentianales; Rubiaceae
Description: long non-coding RNA (CARA_LNC008016)
Source: RNAcentral